CCCUUAGAUGUCCUGGGCUGCACGCGCGCUACACUGAUGUGUCCAGUAAGCACCUAACCUCUUCCGAAGGGAACGGGUAACCUUAGCAAAGCACAUCGUGAUGGGGAUAGAUUAUUGCAAUUAUUAGUCUUGAACGAGGAAUUCCUAGUAAGCACAAGUCAUCAGCUUGUGUUGAUUACGUCCCUGCCCUUUGUACACACCGCCCGUCGCUCCUACCGAUUGAAUGCUCAGGUGAGCCAUUCGGACUUUCAUCAUGCUGGUUUCCAGUUUUGAUGAAGGAAAGUCUUGCGAACCUUAUCAUUUAGAGGAAGGAGAAGUCGUAACA
RNAcentral lists this ribosomal RNA (325 nucleotides) under uncultured eukaryote. RNAcentral's name for it is "partial 18S ribosomal RNA". It matches the Rfam family "Eukaryotic small subunit ribosomal RNA", at positions 1470 to 1796 of the family's 1831-position model. The record is from RNAcentral.